AGAGUUUGAUCAUGGCUCAGGACGAACGCUGGCGGCGUGCUUAACACAUGCAAGUCGAACGAUGAACCACUUCGGUGGGGAUUAGUGGCGAACGGGUGAGUAACACGUGGGCAAUCUGCCCUGCACUCUGGGACAAGCCCUGGAAACGGGGUCUAAUACCGGAUACUGACCCGCUUGGGCAUCCAAGCGGUUCGAAAGCUCCGGCGGUGCAGGAUGAGCCCGCGGCCUAUCAGCUUGUUGGUGAGGUAAUGGCUCACCAAGGCGACGACGGGUAGCCGGCCUGAGAGGGCGACCGGCCACACUGGGACUGAGACACGGCCCAGACUCCUACGGGAGGCAGCAGUGGGGAAUAUUGCACAAUGGGCGAAAGCCUGAUGCAGCGACGCCGCGUGAGGGAUGGCGGCCUUCGGGUUGUAAACCUCUUUCAGCAGGGAAGAAGCGAAAGUGACGGUACCUGCAGAAGAAGCGCCGGCUAACUACGUGCCAGCAGCCGCGGUAAUACGUAGGGCGCGAGCGUUGUCCGGAAUUAUUGGGCGUAAAGAGCUCGUAGGCGGCUUGUCACGUCGGUUGUGAAAGCCCGGGGCUUAACCCCGGGUCUGCAGUCGAUACGGGCAGGCUAGAGUUCGGUAGGGGAGAUCGGAAUUCCUGGUGUAGCGGUGAAAUGCGCAGAUAUCAGGAGGAACACCGGUGGCGAAGGCGGAUCUCUGGGCCGAUACUGACGCUGAGGAGCGAAAGCGUGGGGAGCGAACAGGAUUAGAUACCCUGGUAGUCCACGCCGUAAACGGUGGGCACUAGGUGUGGGCGACAUUCCACGCCGUCCGUGCCGCAGCUAACGCAUUAAGUGCCCCGCCUGGGGAGUACGGCCGCAAGGCUAAAACUCAAAGGAAUUGACGG
RNAcentral lists this ribosomal RNA (894 nucleotides) under uncultured bacterium. RNAcentral's name for it is "bacterial SSU rRNA". It matches the Rfam family "Bacterial small subunit ribosomal RNA", at positions 8 to 916 of the family's 1533-position model. The record is from RNAcentral.